UUGAAAACAGAAUGGAAAUCACUCGCGAUUAACAUUCUUAAUAACACAUCAUUUCUGGUGGUCAUACAUGUAUAGGACAAAUUCUGCGUCUUAGGGUACUGUCAAGAUGGCUGAAGAAGCACUUUUCCAAACAGGCAUUUCGUUUGAAAUGACACUCUUCAACAUCUUUUUGGCACUUGUUACUCUCUUCAUGAUUCUACUUGCUGUUCGCACCCUACGUUUUGGGCAGAACCAGCAUAAGGAUUAGGAUGUCUAUCCCGAUUGUCCUUCGAAGCACCAGCAGCACAUUUUAACCGACGCGAUGGGCUGUUCAUGUGUUUGAACUGUUCUCCUUUACCGUUACGUGAAGAAAAUUCGAAGAAAAAAUAGUAAAAAGUAUCAUAGUGUUAUCUAUGACAGCAACAGUAGUGGUGACCAACUCAUCGAGAACAAAAUCAUGGGAUUCGUAUGCCUCCUGUGAUCCUAGAAACGACAAAUUUGUAUCAAUUGCUUAAGAUGUCUGUGUUAUGGGAAGUAGAAGCGCAGUGUCCCGCGACAACCCUACAAGCCAUCACAGAGAAUAUGUCCAGGCAUUAGGUCGUAAAUUGUAAAUAUCUCAAAGGAGGGUAUGACAUCGGUGUUGAUGAGGUUACCACAGCUACGAGUGGAUGUAUGAUAAAACAAUAUACAUGAAACGGGAAUUUAUUGGGGUACUAGAUAGACCGUGUUAUCACUUGCUUUUGUACUAUUUCAGUAUACAGUAUGUAUGUUUUUGCCAAUAUCAUCAUGUCACAUUUUUUGUACGGGUUCGCUGGGGAAUUGAUUCUCCAGGGUGAAUGUGUACAUCGCCGUGUACAUCUCGAGCGUUUGUAAGUCAAUGGAGAUGGCACUGUAUUUUAACAUUGCGGCAAGGCAAAUUACUUCUAAACGCCAUAUGAUAUUGGAAACGUCCCUGGACCGGAAGAACUAAUAAAAUAAAUAUCAAUCACGAAUAUACGGGCCUCACAUGGCAGUGUUGUUAUAAUCAUUGCCAUGCCCAUGUGCUGGGAUGGGCAUAUUUGAGCUUUAGGGCUGCAGUUUCAUUUGCUGCUAUCAUGAUCCAUAUAAGCCUUUAUUAACCUAUAUGAUCCACAUAAGCGGGAACCUGGAAUUCUUUGUACAAAUACUUUACUACGGUGUCAGAUGAAGGACACAAUGGUUUUAUUUAUACGCGACAUCGCUCAUGCAUAACUUAUUUUCGUUGUCGUAUUCGCAGUUAGUCUGGCAAACUGGAGGGGUGAGGGGUACGCUGUCACCCCUGCUGCCUGCUUGAAGAACUGCAAAAGAAAUCACCACGAUUAGUUAUGCAUGAGCGAAUGAAAUAAAUUUGUCUUUAAUUGGUAA
Molecule: long non-coding RNA, 1362 nt
Organism: Lineus longissimus
Lineage: Eukaryota; Metazoa; Nemertea; Pilidiophora; Heteronemertea; Lineidae
Exons: 2
Source: RefSeq, a predicted model, not a curated record